AGGAAACCUGUCUUGGCCAAAUGCAGUUAAAUGGGCCCCUACAGCGCCCAGCCCCUGUGCUAUUUUGUAUCUUGGAGGGCUGGCCGAGGCCUCGCUAGCACAACCUUCCAGAGAUCCUCAGGCACGCCACUGUACCGCACAUGACCUCUGAUGCUGUACUUUACCAAAUGACAAUGUUGCUUCCCGGGCUGCUGUUCGUACGGCCUCCAGGUCAGACUGGCACAGGCUGGCGAUCUGAUCGAUGCUUUCGAUCCCCUGUUUGAGGUGGGGGCAAAGAGGAACCAUUAGGGGACGUUUUAAGUAGCAGGUGGAACCUACUUUUAUAAGCUCUUGCAAGGCACCAGCCCUGGCAUGCUCUCUGGGGCCUCAGCCCCUUCCUUUUCUAAAGGCUUACAGUUUUCUUACAUGGCCUUAAAUUCAUCAGAAGUGCCAUUGGAAGUGCCUCUCCUUUUCAAUCCUGCCACCUGCUAGUGAGCCAGCCUAUCUUAAAAACAAGACCUGCUUCCCUCUGGACCUUCGUAAAUCGUCCUUUCUCUCCUAACCCUCCCCUCCUGGUCAGACUGAGAGCAUCAGUCAGCACCCAGAUGUGGGUGCAGCUGACACUCGUUGCUCUUUCCUCCAGGGCCAAGGACUAGAGUGCACUUCAGCUUCCUCUACAAGGGCACCCACCUCUACCCUCCUUUCUGGUUGUUUGAGUAUAACCAGAUGGUCCUCCUAGAAUUUCCCUUUGGUUCUUUCCAGAAUGAAUGGGAUGAGUGUAAUCUCUUUUUCAUCUAGCAAAUUGGCAGUGGUUUUUUUUUUUUUUUAAAUGAGAGUUCCAGAUGCAAGUGAGGUUGAGGCAAGGUGGACAUCCUCUCACAUCUGUUUUUGGGAGUGUAAGUGGGUGAGCUGUAUCAGGAGUCUCCAAAAGUUUCAUAUUCUCUGGCCUAGAGGCACACUUUGUAGAGGGUUCAGCCUAAGGAAAUCAUUCAGAGCUCCAUAUAUUUUGUAAAGGCUUUGUGCACAACGAUGUUUAUAAUGACACCACAAUUUAAAAAAAAAAAAAAAGGAUGAUGAACCUCAAUUUUCUACCACGAAAGUGGGGGAAUCAAUUAACUAAGCCCCUUCAUAGAGACUGCUAAAGAACUGCCAGUCUGCCUCUAAGAGUUCCUAUUUUUGCCCACUAUUUUUAAAUUGUAUUUAUUAGCAUGACUAACAAUUUUAAAUGCUCACACACACCCACAAACUAAAGAAAUAACAGCAAAACACCAACAGUAGUUUCUGCUAAGUAUCAGGAUGAUGGGUAACUGUUACGUUCCUGUAUUUUACACUUUUUUUUUUUCCUACAAUGAGCUAAUUGUGCUUUUAGAGAUUUUUAAAUUGAGGAUAAUCAAACGUAGAAUCCAAGACCUCAGAAGGUGUCCCUGGGGCUACCUGCUUAUUCAAGCAGAGCCCGAGCAAAUGCUCCUUGACAACUGUUGAGGGGCCUCUGCUGGUGGAUUUGACGUCUGCUCCUCUAAAACGAGCUCUUCGGGGACCUUUUUUUGGGGGGUGGGGGAGUCCCAGUGGAAUAAUUUUGGAAUGAAAUUUUUUUUUUUAAUUAACUUUGACAUUAACCACAAGCAGGCUUCUUUCCAUCCCCGGCGAGGAAGGUUAGACUCACCCUGAGGUGUUUGAGUGCCACACACGCGGCCUGCUGGAGUUUUGCAUCGUUCUCGGUCAGGGCGUUGGUGUAGAAGAGCAAAGCCUGGGGAAUAAGGUUGCUGUGAAUGGGGGGGCUGGGCCAGCCAAGUCCACAGUGCCCAUGGCCAGUGCUCCUGGUGCUGGCAGGAAAUCACGCCCUGCUUACCUUUCUCUAAACAAAAAUCAGGCCCUGAUCUAUUCAUCUCUGGGCCAGGUGCACCCCGUCUCAGAGUAUCUGCCGCAGUGUUUAGGUUUCCCUCUAAAAACACUGGUCCCUGGGCUGAUGCUAAUCAAAGUGAAGAAAGUUCUUUUUGUCUAUUAAUAUUUCCCAAAUCUAGAUAAAACACUGCAUCAGAGAAAUCAGAUGUCCGGCCAGGGCCAGCUGAAGAAUUGGGUGCACAGAGGGAGGUGGCCCUGGGAACACCCUUUACCAGUCACAGCAACAGCCCUGUACCCUCGGCCCCCUCAGCUGGGAGAGAGCUGGCACCGGCUUCACAGCAUUGUACAGGCUUAUUGGGAAGCACGUGAGGAUGCACUUGGCCGUGGGGUGACCCAAGAAACCAUAAUCGACACACAUUAGUUGAAAGUAAAUGAAGAUGACCACGAGAAUCCGAAAAAAGAAACAUUCUACACACAACUGACAUCUCAGACCAAACAGAUAUGUUGUGCUGGAAGCACCAGGAUGAAGGAGGUGGUAGCCGUGGAACUGGAACCAGGUGACCGUCUGUUCCUCGGGAGGCCCGGCUGCGGGGAGCAGCCCGCCGCAGCUGAGCACCUGCUCCAGGAGCCUUCUGCACGCUGGCAGACACGGGAGGAGGCCGUGAGCUCUAGAGACCGCGCCCUGGAGCCCCGAGGAGCUUCUCGGCCCGGCGCGGCUGGGUCAGGUAAAGGCUCUCGACGGGCGUGGGGGGAGCCCCGCUGGAGCCACCUCUGCCCGCCGGAGCAGGCUGCAGCGGGGGUUCUCGGGGCCCGGGGCUGGGGAACCCUCCGGCCGAGCAGCAGCCGGGCGCUGCGUGGAGCUGCACGCGUUCCAGAGCCACGGCGAGGGCGUACAGGUGUCCCCCUCGGUCGUCGGCAGAGGAAGCCGCUCUGUGUUCCGAGGGGGGGUCCGGCCUACCUUCCCCAACGUGCUGCCCGAACCCCUAUAAGCUUCUGGUGGGAGCUGCGCUGUCUGCCUGCCCAGAAGCGGCCCAGCCGGCUAACGUGGGCGGCCUCGGGGCUUCGCAGACCCUUCCUGUCCCCCCUCCGGUGCCAUGAGACAUGGGGGCACAGGCAGGGCAGAAAGCGGGGGGCGUGGGGGUACCUAUUUCCAGCUGUCCUGGGUACUUCCCGCGGACUCUGUGCAGGAACGUUUUCUUGAGCUGGUUCAGCAGCGUCGUGGCGGGGCAGGACAGCACCCUGCCGGGCUCCGUGCACCCUCUCCACAGCCUCAGGCACCCCUUCCUCCGAGCGGCCUGCGCAACGACUAGAAAGCCCGGGGCAGGACCCGACUGGAGGUGGGGGAGGCCCAAAGAGCUCCUCCCGCACUAAGGCCUGGGAGGUCGGGGGGUGAGGGGUGACAGCUUCCCCUCCCACGUCCAGGGGGCCCGCAGGACUGGCAGCUUCAGCUGUGCGUGCAUGCCCUGGGCCUCUCCCCCCCAGUCCUCACGGCAGCUGGGAAGGCCCAAAGAGCGUGUGCCGCUGACUCCAAGGCUCUGUGGCCUCCCUUGCCGGCCCCACAGUGUGUGUGUCAGGGCACAGCCCAGCCACCGCCCCAGCUCGUACCCCCCUGGGCUCCAGUUAACUUUGGACCCGAGGAAGGAAGAUGAGGCUCCCCCGGGCUUCGAAGCCCAUCACUUGAUGCCAUUCCAAGAGCAGCCCGUGGGUGCUGGGCAGUUACUUACUUUCUUCAAUGGAUGUUGCCUUGUUGGCCUUCUCAAAAUCCAACACAGAAAGCAUCUCCAGAACCUGCUUUUGCUGGGCAGCUUCUUCUAGAAGGCAUUCCUGGACCAUCCUCGACAAAUUAGGAGAGGCCAGUUUCUGGAAAGCAGCCCACGAUGCUCCAGGUUAGGGCAGAAGGUGCCCUCUGAGGUCGACAGUCACAACUGCAGCUCCCACCAGCCACCGCCCUCCCCUUGGCCCAUCCUUUCUAUGCUGAUGGUUGUUCCCUGACUGUCAUCUGGGGAUUCCCGAUUCGCCAAGGUGAGAUGCUAGGAUGCAGGCUGUGGCCCGGGGCCACCUUUGCCACCAGAAAAGGCUAGCCUGCCUAGAAGUGGAGCCAGCCAACACAGGAAAGCAGAGCUGAGAGAGAGAGACCCAGUUAUGAUGACAUUUGAAACCCCGGAUCCAGCUGGGCCUGAAGCCUGCCCCCUAAGCCUUUCAAUUCUGUGAGCCAAAAACCUCCUUCUGGUUGAGCCAGUUUGGAUUGGAGUUCUGGCAUCUGCAACUGAAAGAGUCGCAGCUUUUGGUUCAGAGCACUUGGGAUGCGUAAGAGCCACGUGACUGUUCGGAUGAAUCUCCUCAGUCUCACUGGCUCUUGGGGGGGGGUCUCUCUUCCUUUCACGAUGCUCCCCACCACCACCGUCAAGAUCAGUUCUUCUCAAAGAGGGUUGCCAACCCCCAACCUGCAACAUGGCUUCCCAGCAAACUGCCCCCCUCCCCCCCGCCACAUUCCUUAACCACCUGCAGCAGAGCUUUGCAGACUUGGAGGUGGGCCAUGAGCAACCUGUCCAGCUCCGGGGUGCCGGCCGUGAGCUCCCUGGAUGACACCUUCCGAGAUGGCGGUGGGGGCGGGGUCCUGUCCUUUCUGAGUUGGAUUAAAAAGAAGCAGGUGACUAUUCCAGUUAGCUCAGCUCCCUCCAAGAGUAGAAGAAACCCUCCCUCCUUGGAGAGAGCUGGUCAGGGAGGCCUGCUGCAGGUCCCAGGGAGACAGAGCUAUACCAAGGAGAAAACCAAGAGGAAAAGCAGCAAAAGCCAACUCAGAACAGGUGCUGGGAUGGGGGGAGUGGAGGACACCUCCCCAGGUGGCCGAUCUGAAGUCAGAAGUUCAAACUAAUCCUGAGCUCCAUCACUUUGGACAGGUCUGCCCCCCCCCCCAGCCUCAGUUUACUCAUCUGUAAAGUGGGGAGAGGAAUACCGAGCUCAGGGCAGUGACGUGUAAGUGCGACCCUGCCAGUCAGAAUGCCUGGCAUCGUGUUGGCUUCAUGGUAGGAGCUGAGCCUGAGGCCUGAGGACACUGGGACACUGGAAUGUCAGGUGGGAGAGCCACCCCCUCCCCAUGGGAUCGUGAGAGGAGGAGACAGAGUACUGUUUAUCCUCUGGCGGCUGCUGAGAUUCGGUACCAGAGCCCGGCGUGAGUGGGGCAGGCGGGGGAUGCUUAGCCAAGAAGGAAGUUGGUGUCGGAGGUGAGGUUGUGCAGAAGAAUAGGGAGCACGGCUCACUGCUGCCCGUUGGUGAGGCAAGAGUACAGAGGUCCUACCGUGGACCUUAUCAUUUUUUAAGAUAAAAACAAAAACAGCACAUUGCUCAAAGCUCAGGACCCUGCUGGGGGACUGUCCUUCACUCGGUGGCCAAUACAGGCCUGCUCUGUGCCGGGCAGUGGGCAUGCAGGGGUGAGGGGGCAGGACAGAUGGGGCCCAGGGCAGGGGAAGCCAUAGGCCAGGAGGCAACAGGAGGCAUGGACUAAGGCUGGUCCCCAGGGUCAGUGCUGGGAGGAGGGUGCACUUACCGGAGACCCUGGCAGCCCCCAAACAGGGACAGCUCCUGUGGGGCGAGGUCAGCAUUGAGGAAGGCGAAGCUCUCCAGGAUGCACUCCAUCAGGCUCUCGGCAGAGGCGUGCUCCUGGCGGGCUCCACGGGGCUGUGGACAGAGCGGGGAGACCUUAGGGCAGACAGCCCACCGGACCUUAACAGGCUCCGGCUCACAGGCAGGGUGCGAGCCUCGGCUGCCCAAGUGCAAUCACCCAAGUCCAGGCCGGGCACGGGGUGCGGCGCUCCUUGAGGUCCCUCCCAAUUAGCCUGUGACAAGGUAUGGCUCGAGAGCACAAGGGACACAGAUCUGAAGGGCCUCACCCAGCUCACAGACACCCACAGGGACAGGGCAAGAAACAGGAGUGAGCGAGUGGCCCCGGGUGGGGAGCAGGACAACGUGUGCCCUCCCCCAAGAAGCCAGGCUGCUGCUCUGCUCCAGCGGACACCUGUCACUUGAGUGUUGCUAGAUCAAUUUUUAAAAAAAGAUUUUACUUGUUCAUUAGAGAGAGAGAAAGAGAGAGAGAGAGGCGGAAACACAGGCAGAGGGAGAAGCAGGCUUCAUGCAGGAGCCUGAUGUGGGACUCGAUCCCAGGACCCCAGGAUCACACCCUGGGCCAAAGGCAGGCACUAAACCACUAAGCCACCCAGGGAUCCCCUCAAUUUUCUAAAAAAAAAAAAAAAAAAAAAGCUGGAAAUCUAGAUUUUUGUGGAAAGCUGCCAGUUUUUAAAUAUUGACAGCUAAUUCCAAAUUAUUUUUUAAAAAAUGGAAAAAUGGUAUUGAAAAAAAAAAAAGAUGGUAUGGGUCAGACCAAACAUCUCUUUAGGAGGCUCAGAGGCUGCCAGAUGAGCCUCUGGAUUUCAAGUAUUCUUUAAAAAACAAAAAAAUGUUUUGCUUAUUCAUUUGAGAGAGAGAGAGAGAGCAGGGGGAGGGGCAGAGGGAGAAGCGGACUGCUGAGCAGGGAGCCUGAUGUGGGACUCGAUCCCAGGACUCUGGGAUCAUGACUAGAGGUGAAGGCAGACACUUGGCUUCACCGACUGGGCCCCCCAGGCACCCCCAAGUGUCUUCUCCCAGGGAAAUGCAGGAGGGAGAAGACAUUGGAGGCGCCUCCUGACUGACAGGGGUGGGAGAGCGUGGUGGUGCCACGGCUCCUGCCACUGGUCAGGUCUCCUAAGGGCAGGUCCCUUCCUCGGCAUCUAGAAAUCUACUCCUGGAGAUUUUGGCCUCCUCUCCGUACAUGGCAGGACUCCAGGGCUCACCCGGUCCCCAUCCCGGCACACCCAGGCCUCAUCCCAAACAAAGUGCACGCAGGGCACCACCUGAGCAGACACUGCCUCGAAAGCCAGAACUAGGCUCCCAAGAGUCGAGCCCACUCAAGAAAGGUUUGAGUUGGGGCGUCUGGGUGGCUCAGUGGUUGAGUGUCUGCCUUUGGCUCUGGUCGGGAUCCCGGGGUCCUGGGAUCGAGUCCCGCAUCAGGUUCCCUGCAUGGAGGCUGCUUCUCCCUCUGCCUGUGUCUCUGCCUCUCUCUGUGUCUUAUGAAUAAAUAAAACUUUAAAAAUCUUAAAAAAAAAAAAAAAAGGAAGUCUUGAGUUACAAGAAAAUAACAAGGCCAGUUACGCCUUGCCUGAUAGAAAAAAAAAAAAAAAGUGUGUCUGCAUAUAUCUGCACAUACACACGCACACACGGAGGUGGUUCCUCAUUAUUCGAGAUGUGCCAAACCGUCACUCCCAGAAGUGCAGAGAUUGAGCCCCUGGUCACGACAUUUUCAUCAACCCAUCAACACAGAAGCUUGUUUUAUGUGUUUCUGUUUGAAGACACUUUACUGAAUUUACACGGAUGAUUCACUGGCACUGACCUCAGGCCCCCACAGCACUGUCACCCGCGCUGAACCACGCUGAGCUCACACAUGCGUCCUCUCCGUGAGGCCCAGCACAGCCUCCCUGCACUCGGGAGCACUAGACUGCACUUCAACACGGCAGCUGGGCCCAUUUUAAACCCUGAAAUGCCCCCACAUAAUUUUUAAAGAGAGCCAGGAAACUAUUUCAGUGCCAGCGUGUCCUACACAAAGACGGUAGUUUCAUAAAUCAGAUGAUGUGAAGUAGGUACUGGCGUUACACAUUUUAUCAUCCAUGCAUUUGAAGUUGCGUAAUCAGGAAAAAUCCAAUAAUCCGCCCGGGCCAGCACCCGAGGACGGCCCUUGCCACAGGCCCUGCGAGGAGCAGGUUCAGGGAAGGGUGUGCAGCUGCGCGGGGUCUUCUGCGGCCCCGGCUCUGACCCUGAACACACCCCAGAUUUGGGAACCGAACAGCCCCACCUGCCCGGGGUCAGAAGAUGUCUGAUGGGCCCAGGUUCUUGGCCAGACGUGGAGCAGGUUAUCUGCCCCGAUGCCCGACUUCCUCUUAUUAUCCUCCUCCCAGCCAGUGAGGGCGACUGUUCUCCCCACUGGACAGAUGAGCAGACUGAGGCCCAGAGGGGAGAGGCGCAGCUGGGUCACACGGGGGUGAGGCCAGGGUGCCGGCCCAGGCUGGCUGCCCCCAGGGACCACUGCCACUCGUUAGGCACUAGUAGAGCAGGGCUGCCGCCCCUCGAUAAUAAACCUACCUUCAGCCGGUCCCUAAAGCCGAGAACCUGGAACUCCAGCUCCCGCAGCUGGGGCUGGGUGGGGUCCACGGACCUCAGUAAAUCCAGGACCUCUUGCAGGGGCCUCUCGAGGGCCACCCCAGGCCCAUCCACUCCGUCCUCGGUUUCUCCUUCAUCGUGGUCUGUCUGGCUGCCCGGAUCUGUGUGGUUGUGGAAAGGGGAACCCCGUGGCGGGCUGGGGCCCUCUAUUCCCAAAUUCCUCCAGCCAGGCUGCUCCACAAAUGGGCCUCCCGCCUGGUGGGCCAUCUCCGGCAGGAGGCCCAGGGGUCGGGGGUCCUCCUGGGCCUCCUCUUCAAUGGAGGUGUUGGGGCCGAUGGCCAGGGGCAGGAAGCCCACGUCCGAGGUGGAUGCUGAUGUGCUGGUCUCGGCAUCUCGGGGGUCCUCGGAGCUGAAGGAGUCCAUCUCAGGCAGCUCCUGACUCUGGCUCCGCAGGCCAGGGCCCCGAAGGUCCCUGUCAGACAGGUAGCUGAGGAUGGAGGUGGCCCUCGGCCCACCCAGCAGCAAAGCCUGCGGUGCUGGCUGCUGCAGGACAGACUGGGGAGGGGGACACAGGACCAGCCUUACUGCCACACCAGGGACUGGGGCAAGGCCCCCAGCGGGGCUGCCCUCCCCAAACGCUUGCGCCAAAUACCCACACUGUCCCCACGAGUGAUUGGCGCCUGGAGGUGCAGAUGGGCCCCUGCAGCCUCUCUGCCCCCAUCCGCCUCGUCCUUCUCUCUCACUCCUUUCCAGGCCCUGCGGCCACCACGUCCUCUGGGCUCUCCCUGCCUUCCUGUCCCAAGGCCUUUGCAGUGACUGUGCUCUCUUCCCAGAACAUUCUUCCCCCCUAGGCCAUUGUGGUUACACCCCCAUCCCCCCAGGUCCUUCCUCACGUGGCACCUUUCCUGGGGUCCUUCCCCUGGGUGCCCUAUUUUAGGUGGUAACUCCCACCUUGCCCCAUCAGUGCCCUCCCCCUUCCUGGCUCACGUGCCCAAGGGCCUUACCCCCUGGGGCAGGCAGUGCUCCCUGAGGGCACCGUCCUCACCCCGCCACGGAGUUCUCAAUGAAUGAAGCGCAUGGGCCCACACUUGCCCCUCCGCCGCUCCCCUUCCCCGACCCCUAGGCAGACCCCUAGCAACACUCCGCGUUCCUACAGCACCACCUGUUUUCGUCAGCACUUCUCAUCAAUCCACUCAUUUCAUCCUUGCAAACCCCCACCAGAGCGCUGCGGUUGUUUUCAGUUCUCGAUACAGAAACUGACGGCCAGAGAGGUGGAGUGACUUGCCCAAGGUCACACAGCAGGUGAGAGGCAUAAACAGAACUUGAACCCAGCCCACCUGGCUCUAGAGUCCAUACUCUGGACCAGAUACGAUUUUUUUUUUUUAACUGAAGUAUGCUGGGCCCACCCUGGCCAGAAUAUGGAAGAAGUGGACAACGAUAGUCGGCGCUAAGGAAGGGACCCAGAUCUCCGGGGGUCACGGGAAAGAGGUGUUUUACUCUAUGCUUUGUCAAGGUAUUGCCUACCAGAAACAUAUAUUUAAUUUUAAAAGAAAUAAAUUGGAGGCUGAGGCUA
This is a long non-coding RNA of Canis lupus familiaris (dog), 9580 nucleotides long. RefSeq lists it as uncharacterized. The transcript is spliced from 3 exons. Lineage: Eukaryota; Metazoa; Chordata; Mammalia; Carnivora; Canidae. The record is from RefSeq and is a predicted model, not a curated record.